GCCCGCAUGACGAAAUUGGUAGACGUAACGGACUUAAAAUCCGUGGCCUUCGGGUGUGCCGGUUCGAGUCCGGCUGCGGGCACCA
Molecule: transfer RNA, 85 nt
Filed under: Microvirga terrae
Lineage: Bacteria; Pseudomonadati; Pseudomonadota; Alphaproteobacteria; Hyphomicrobiales; Methylobacteriaceae
Also listed under: 1 other name
Description: Microvirga sp. R24 tRNA-Leu
Rfam family: tRNA
About the family: Transfer RNA (tRNA) molecules are approximately 80 nucleotides in length. Their secondary structure includes four short double-helical elements and three loops (D, anti-codon, and T loops).
Source: RNAcentral